AGAAUAGAGGUUUAGGUGGCCCAACAUUUUAAUUUUUUGUUCACUGACAGGAUAUACAUAUACAUGCAUAUACAUAUAUAUAGUAUUCUCAUACUUGUAACCUCCGUCUCAGUUGCGUACAUCAACCACAUAAAGCUGGAAUAGCAAAGGUAGCAUGCCAGAUUUUGUCAGUCAAUUACCUGGACAGAAGGCACUGUGUGGCUCUCACUUUUCAGUUACUUCUCCCCCUUCCCUGAAGCUCCAACAGUUGGUGAGCUUGCCUAAGCCUCACGGUAGAAUCCAUUGCAAGGGUAGUAUGUGGAGUGGCUGGUGGCAGUGGCCGUGGUGAACCUAGAAUCCUAGAACCUUAGUGGUGUCCUAGAGUCUGAAACCUACAGAUGCAGAAUAAAAAGUCAGCAAGAAAGGAAGACUGAUAAAAUAAAUAAGCCAAGGUAUCCACCCCUCACCUUCACAGUCCCUGCCUGCCAGUGACAACUUUGCAGGUGACCAGCUAACCCCGUCAUCCCUGUUGAGAGGAGUUGGUGCACAUCAGUUUAAGACAGGGUUGUGUGUGUACAUACUACCUGAAACUACUACAACUGUUGUUCAGCCAUGAAGCGAGUCAGCCCAGAGCAAAGCCAACUCACAGAGUGUGACAGGGAAAAGAUGGGAAAACCUGGUCCUGAUGACAUCAUUGAGGCAAAUGGUUGUACUAGGCCUGGAGCGUGUUCAACCUCUGGACAUCCUAUAAUGUGAAAUAAUAAAUUCCCUUGUUGUUCAAGCCAGUUAGAGUCAGGGUUUUCUGUUCCUUAAAGCCAAGAGCACUGACUUGAUAAACCACAAACUGCAAGCUAUUGGUGGGUAGGAAACACAGUAAGGACAAUGUGUUUAAAAGAUCAUGUCGAGAUUUUAAGAGGAAAACAGAUGGCAAAAAAGGGGUAGUUGACAUCAAUGGGGGGCUUAACCUUCUGUUGUUCCUAAAAUCAUCUCCAAUCAUUCCCCUGGCCUCUGGACCUGUG
RNAcentral lists this long non-coding RNA (998 nucleotides) under Equus asinus (donkey). RNAcentral describes it as "lncRNA (ENSEASG00005025544.1)". The record is from RNAcentral. Lineage: Eukaryota; Metazoa; Chordata; Mammalia; Perissodactyla; Equidae.